Molecule: small nucleolar RNA, 124 nt
Organism: Silurus meridionalis
Lineage: Eukaryota; Metazoa; Chordata; Actinopteri; Siluriformes; Siluridae
Product: small nucleolar RNA SNORA26
Exons: 1
Source: RefSeq, a predicted model, not a curated record
UUGCCCAUUUAAGACCGCUUGUGUCUUAAAUGAUUAACACAGGGGGGAAGAAGUCGUCUCUCAAAAAACCCGAAGUAAAGGCAGAUUCACUUCCUUGCUUCGGAUCCUGUCGGGAGAAACAAAA